GAAAUUAUGACUGGGGUUGUAGCUGGGCUAUAAAACGGCAUGUGCACGCUCCUUUCACAAUCCACACACACCUGUGCACCUUCGCGGGGGUCUUUUUUUCUCUUCGGGGGAAUAAAGGCUCGCGUCCCUUUACACACCCUUUGUAUGUCUUAAGAAUGUCUACUCGAUGUAAUAAAACGCAUCUAAUACAACUUUCAACAACGGAUCUCUUGGCUCUCGCAUCGAUGAAGAACGCAGCGAAAUGCGAUAAGUAAUGUGAGUUGCAGAAUUCAGUGCAUCAUCCGAUCUUUGAACGCACCUUGCGCCCUUUGGUAUUCCGAAGGGCACACCUGUUUGAGUGUCGUGAAAUUCUCAACCCUCCUCGCUUUUUCGGCGAGCGUAGGGAUUGGACUUGGAGGCUUUGCCGGGCUCUCAUCGCUCGGCUCCUCUCAAAUGCAUUAGUGCGUCUUGUUGCGACGUGCGCCUCGGUGUGAUAAUUAUCUACGCUGUGGUGCGCUUGCUUCUUGUGGAGACACGCUUUCGAACCGUCCGAAAGGACAGCUUUCAUCGAACUUUGACCUCAAAUCAGGUGGGACUACCCGCUGAACUUAAGCAUAUCAAUAAGCGGAGGAAAAGAAACUAACAAGGAUUCCCCUAGUAACUGCGAGUGAAGCGGGAAAAGCUCAAAUUUAAAAUCUGGCGGUCUUCUGGCCGUCCGAGUUGUAGUCUGAGA
RNAcentral lists this ribosomal RNA (712 nucleotides) under Stereum sp. 2 RG-2014. RNAcentral's name for it is "eukaryotic LSU rRNA". The stretch from base 190 to 343 matches the Rfam family "5.8S ribosomal RNA". The record is from RNAcentral. Lineage: Eukaryota; Fungi; Basidiomycota; Agaricomycetes; Russulales; Stereaceae.